UCCCUGGUGGCUCAGAGGAUAAAGUAUCUGCCUGCAAUGCAGGAGACCUGGGUGCAAUCCCUGGGUUGGGAA
RNAcentral lists this transfer RNA (72 nucleotides) under Ovis aries (sheep). It matches the Rfam family "tRNA". Rfam says of the family: Transfer RNA (tRNA) molecules are approximately 80 nucleotides in length. Lineage: Eukaryota; Metazoa; Chordata; Mammalia; Artiodactyla; Bovidae. The record is from Rfam by way of RNAcentral.